This is a small nucleolar RNA of Trichechus manatus latirostris (Florida manatee), 77 nucleotides long. RefSeq annotates it as small nucleolar RNA SNORD115. The transcript has a single exon. Lineage: Eukaryota; Metazoa; Chordata; Mammalia; Sirenia; Trichechidae. The record is from RefSeq and is a predicted model, not a curated record.
GAGUCAUUGACAAGACAUAAAUAUGUAUAGAAGAGGAUGACAAAAAAAUUAGGCUCAAUUGCAUUAUGUUGAGGCCC